RNAcentral lists this ribosomal RNA (270 nucleotides) under uncultured prokaryote. Its description in RNAcentral is "partial 16S ribosomal RNA". It matches the Rfam family "Archaeal small subunit ribosomal RNA", at positions 474 to 743 of the family's 1478-position model. The record is from RNAcentral.
CACCAGAGCCACGAGUGGCAAUCGCAUUUAUUGGGCCUAAAGCGUCCGUAGCUGGUUUGUUAAAUUUCCUGUGAAAUUGUUGAGCUUAACUCAACAGCGUGCAAGAAAAACUGGCAGACUUGAGACCGGGAGGAGACAAGAGUAUUCCAGGGGGAGCGGUAAAAUGCUAUAAUCCCUGGAGGACUACCUGUGGCGAAGGCGCUUGUCUAGAACGGGUCUGACAGUGAGGGACGAAAGCUAAGGUAGCGAUCGGGAUUAGAUACCCUCGUA